This is a non-coding RNA of Podarcis lilfordi (Lilford's wall lizard), 148 nucleotides long. The record is from the annotation of a GenBank genome assembly. NCBI's taxonomy places the organism in Eukaryota, Metazoa, Chordata, Lepidosauria, Squamata, Lacertidae.
UUCAAGGAAAACCAAUAGCUGUGCUCCCCUGUGCUGUUCUCCACCAAACAAGCUUAAGGUUCAUUAGUAGGAGAAUGUAGAGUAGUUAAGCUUCCAAGACUCCAGACACGUCCAAGUAAGAUGCACCAUGUGGCAGUUUGCCAUUCUU